This is a long non-coding RNA of Myodes glareolus (Bank vole), 691 nucleotides long. RefSeq lists it as uncharacterized. Lineage: Eukaryota; Metazoa; Chordata; Mammalia; Rodentia; Cricetidae. The record is from RefSeq and is a predicted model, not a curated record.
AAGAGGAGGGAGCAAUGCUGAGUUCUGUUCAACAAUUUCCUGAAUUCUCUCGUUAACCAAUUUCUCAACACAGAAGAAAACUGGAACUCUGCAGAGACGAGCCUGGGUGGGGACCCCGUCUUCGUGGGAGCGCCAGUCUCCUGGCAUGGGAUGAAGCAUAAGAGGAUGGAGCCUUUGCUCAGAAGUCAACAGGGCAGCGAGCCGGUCAUCUGGAAGUUUCCAGUGAUCUCCGAUCUUGGCAGUUCAAUGAAUGCGACCCUUGUAUGAAGCCCAGCAUGGACUAACCAGGGCCAUGAGGAGUACAAUGGAGUGAUUGUGGGGAGCGACGGGGUGCGUGUGAGCACCUGAGAGCGACUGCUGAGCAGACCCGGCCGCCUUCCCUUCCCGCGCUGUCUGUGCAUCCUCGCUCUCCGCGCUCUACAUUGUUAGGAAGCUGGUCCCCGCCACAACUCACCUCGCGUUCUGCCCUAGAUAUACCAGUGCCAUGCAGGCCUCCUCUGUGUGCCUCUGACCCUGAGCACAGUCCCACGAAGGCCUCGUGGAAACCACUCAGCAAAAACUGAAUGGAAAGGAAGAGGGACGGAGCCAUGCGUCCACUCACUGGAGACCUUUCUAUGGGUUGACCUUGGCCAUGCUAAUCCAGGCCCUCUGGGUGCUGUAGGAGAAUAGUUAUAAAACCUUCCUAUCCUGA